UACGUAGGGUGCAAGCGUUGUCCGGAAUUACUGGGCGUAAAGCGCACGUAGGCGGCUUUGUAAGUUAGAGGUGAAAGCCCAGGGCUCAACCCUGGAAUUGCCUUUAAGACUGCAUCGCUUGAACAUCGGAGAGGUAAGUGGAAUUCCGAGUGUAGAGGUGAAAUUCGUAGAUAUUCGGAAGAACACCAGUGGCGAAGGCGACUUACUGGACGAUUGUUGACGCUGAGGUGCGAAAGCGUGGGGAGCAAACAGG
This 253-nucleotide ribosomal RNA is filed under the name uncultured bacterium. RNAcentral's name for it is "partial 16S ribosomal RNA". It matches the Rfam family "Bacterial small subunit ribosomal RNA", at positions 524 to 776 of the family's 1533-position model. The record is from RNAcentral.